Molecule: ribosomal RNA, 468 nt
Filed under: uncultured bacterium
Lineage: Bacteria
Description: partial 16S ribosomal RNA
Rfam family: Bacterial small subunit ribosomal RNA
Source: RNAcentral
GACGAACGCUGGCGGCGUGCUUAACACAUGCAAGUCGAACGGAAAGGCCCUGCUUUUGUGGGGUGCUCGAGUGGCGAACGGGUGAGUAACACGUGAGUAACCUGCCCUUGACUUUGGGAUAACUUCAGGAAACUGGGGCUAAUACCGGAUAGGAGCUCCUGCUGCAUGGUGGGGGUUGGAAAUUUUCGGCGUUUGGGGAUGGACUCGCGGCUUAUCAGCUUGUUGGUGGGGUAGUGGCUUACCAAGGCUUUGACGGGUAGCCGGCCUGAGAGGGUGACCGGCGAAAUUGGGACUGAGAUACGGACCAGACUCCUACGGGAGGCAGCAGUGGGGAAUAUUGCACAAUGGGCGGAAGCCUGAUGCAGCAACGCCGCGUGCGGGAUGACGGCCUUCGGGUUGUAAACCGCUUUCGCCUGUGACGAAGCGUGAGUGACGGUAAUGGGUAAAGAAGCACCGGCUAACUACGUG